RNAcentral lists this ribosomal RNA (917 nucleotides) under Epicoccum tritici. RNAcentral's name for it is "partial 28S ribosomal RNA". It matches the Rfam family "Eukaryotic large subunit ribosomal RNA", at positions 32 to 971 of the family's 3401-position model. Lineage: Eukaryota; Fungi; Ascomycota; Dothideomycetes; Pleosporales; Didymellaceae. The record is from RNAcentral.
AAAUAGCAUAUCAAUAAGCGGAGGAAAAGAAACCAACAGGGAUUGCCCUAGUAACGGCGAGUGAAGCGGCAACAGCUCAAAUUUGAAAUCUGGCGUCUUUGGCGUCCGAGUUGUAAUUUGCAGAGGGCGCUUUGGCAUUGGCAGCGGUCCAAGUUCCUUGGAACAGGACGUCACAGAGGGUGAGAAUCCCGUACGUGGUCGCUAGCCUUUACCGUGUAAAGCCCCUUCGACGAGUCGAGUUGUUUGGGAAUGCAGCUCUAAAUGGGAGGUAAAUUUCUUCUAAAGCUAAAUACUGGCCAGAGACCGAUAGCGCACAAGUAGAGUGAUCGAAAGAUGAAAAGCACUUUGGAAAGAGAGUUAAAAAGCACGUGAAAUUGUUGAAAGGGAAGCGCUUGCAGCCAGACUUGCCUGUAGUUGCUCAUCCGGGUUUUUACCCGGUGCACUCUUCUACGGGCAGGCCAGCAUCAGUUUGGGCGGUUGGAUAAAGGUCUCUGUCAUGUACCUCCUCUCGGGGAGAUCUUAUAGGGGAGACGACAUGCAACCAGCCUGGACUGAGGUCCGCGCAUCUGCUAGGAUGCUGGCGUAAUGGCUGUAAGCGGCCCGUCUUGAAACACGGACCAAGGAGUCUAACAUCUAUGCGAGUGUUUGGGUGUCAAGCCCGAACGCGUAAUGAAAGUGAACGGAGGUGGGAACCUUUCGGGGUGCACCAUCGACCGAUCCUGAUGUCUUCGGAUGGAUUUGAGUAAGAGCAUAGCUGUUGGGACCCGAAAGAUGGUGAACUAUGCUUGAAUAGGGUGAAGCCAGAGGAAACUCUGGUGGAGGCUCGCAGCGGUUCUGACGUGCAAAUCGAUCGUCAAAUUUGGGCAUAGGGGCGAAAGACUAAUCGAACUAUCUAGUAGCUGGUUCUGCGAGUCUCC